Molecule: ribosomal RNA, 439 nt
Filed under: uncultured bacterium
Lineage: Bacteria
Description: partial 16S ribosomal RNA
Rfam family: Bacterial small subunit ribosomal RNA
Source: RNAcentral
CUACGGGGUGCUGCAGUGGGGAAUAUUGGGCAAUGGGCGCAAGCCUGAUCCAGCAAUGCCGCGUGAGUGAAGACGGCCUUAGGGUUGUAAAACUCUUUCGCUAGGGAAGAUAAUGACUGUACCUAGUAAAGAAGUCCCGGCUAACUCCGUGCCAGCAGCCGCGGUAAUACGGAGGGGACUAGCGUUGUUCGGAAUUACUGGGCGUAAAGAGUUCGUAGGCGGACUGACAAGUUAGAGGUGAAAUCCCAGGGCUCAACCCUGGAACUGCCUUUAAAACUGUCAGUCUAGAGACCGGAAGAGGUUAGGGGAAUACCUAGUGUAGAGGUGAAAUUCGUAGAUAUUAGGUGGAACACCAGUGGCGAAGGCGCCUAACUGGUCCGGUACUGACGCUGAGGAACGAAAGCGUGGGGAGCAAACAGGAUUAGAUACCCCUGUAGUC